ACGAUGAACGAACAUGAUUGCAGAAUCCCUAGGAUCCCUAGGGAACUGCUCAGGAGAGGAUCUGGUUCUUAAACUUAUACCCAAGAAAUUUCAAUCGUCUCCCUCACUCACUCUCUCUGCUCUCACUUGCAGAGAGCCCAUGGCAGCCACGGCCGCCGUGGCCACUCUUCUCCUCACGAGCUUCUUCUUCGCUGCUCUCCACGUCUCUUCGAAUCCAGAUACCAAACCUCUCCUAUCAUUCAAAGCAACGUCGGACGCAUCCAACAAGCUCACCACGUGGAACUCCACCUCCGUUGACCCGUGCACCUGGACCGGCGUCUCCUGCACCAACAACCGAGUCUCCCGACUUGUCCUCGAGAACCUCGACCUCCGCGGCUCGUUCCAGCCACUCACCGCGCUAACUCAGCUCCGAGUUCUGAGCCUCAAGCGUAACCGCCUCUCCUGCCCCAUUCCGGACCUCUCCAACUUCACCGCCCUCAAACUCUUAUUCCUCUCCUACAACGAACUCUCCGGCAACUUUCCAGCCUCCGUGUCCUCUCUCUUCCGUCUCUACCGCCUCGAUCUGUCCUACAACAACUUAUCCGGCGAGAUUCCCGCAACGGUCAACCAUUUGAAUCAUCUUCUCACUCUCCAGCUCGAGGCGAACCGUUUCUCCGGUUCGGAGCCAUAGCGUCUCCUGUAAUGCCUGCUGCUAACCCAACCGUCGUAGCGUCGUCGCCGAGUUCGUUACCCGGGAACUCAGCGCUGAACAAAUCGGGAAAUCCUCACCGAAGUGGUAGCGCGAAAAUGAGUCCGGAGGCUCUAAUCGCCAUUAUAGUUGGCGACGCUUUGGUUCUCGUGCUGGUUUCGCUGCUACUGUACUGCUACUUCUGGCGGAAUUUCAGCGCCAAAAUGCGGCAGGGCAAGGGCGGCUCGAAGCUUCUAGAAACUGAGAAGAUCGUGUACUCGUCGAGCCCCUACUCCGCCGCCCAACCAGUGUUCGAGCGGGGUCGGAUGGUGUUCUUCGAAGCAGUAAAGCGUUUCGAGCUCGAGGACUUGCUCAGGGCCUCGGCGGAGAUGCUGGGGAAAGGCGGGUUCGGGACGGCGUACAAGGCGGUUCUCGACGAUGGCAACGUGGUGGCGGUUAAGAGGCUCAAGGAUGCUCAGAUUGGCGGGAAGACUCAGUUCGAGCAGCACAUGGCGGUGCUGGGGCGGCUCAGCCAUCCCAACAUUGUGAGCUUGAGGGCUUAUUACUUCGCCAGGGAGGAGAAAUUGUUGGUAUACGAUUACAUGCCCAAUGGCAGCCUGUUCUGGGUUCUCCACGGAAACCGUGGACCCGGUCGGACUCCGCUGGACUGGACAACGAGGCUGAAAAUCGCAGCCGGAGCCGCUCGAGGCUUGGCCUGCAUUCACGACUCGUGCGGGCCGCUUAAGCUCACCGGUAACAUCAAGUCCACCAACAUCCUCUUAGACAACACUGGCAACCAGAGGCGGAGCCACAUCUCCGACUUCAGACUCUCCGUUUUCGUGCCUCCUCCGCCCUCCACGUCGUCCGCUCCGCGAUCUUGCGGUUACCGCGCUCCCGAGACGUUGGACGGUCGGAAGUCGACGCAGAAAUCAGACGUGUACGCUUUUGGUGUUCUGCUGCUGGAGCUGCUCACAGGGAAGUGUCCCUCUGUGGUGGAUAAUGGCGGGUCCGGGGGAGGAUUCGGUGGGCUUGUGGACCUGCCCAGGUGGGUCCAGUCUGUGGUCAGGGAAGAAUGGACAGUGGAGGUGUUUGACUUGGAGCUGUGUUGAAUUCUGAUGAGGUACAAGGAUAUUGAGGAGGAGAUGGUGGGGCUUUUGCAGAUUGCAAUGGCUUGUACGGCCGCUUCGCCUGAUCAACGUCCCAGGAUGAGCCAGGUGGUGAAAAUGAUUGACGAGAUUCGGGGCCUGUCUGGUUCGCCGAGUCACGAGGCCGGCUUUGAAUCCAUGUCCGAGUCGUCGGCCUUGUCGGAGGACACUUGCGGAGCAAGUCAGUGAUCGCACCACCAACCAUUUUUAACGUUCUUGUGUUGUAAAUCUACGGGUUUUGUUUUGUUGGCUUCAGUUCCCUUGCCUGCUUAUUUAAUCUCAAAUUUUCGUUUGUGCUAAUUUAAUUACAUCGAUUGCAACGAUUUUAUA
This is a non-coding RNA of Malus domestica (apple), 2142 nucleotides long. Lineage: Eukaryota; Viridiplantae; Streptophyta; Magnoliopsida; Rosales; Rosaceae. The record is from RefSeq and is a predicted model, not a curated record.